Molecule: ribosomal RNA, 800 nt
Filed under: uncultured Planctomycetota bacterium
Lineage: Bacteria; Pseudomonadati; Planctomycetota
Description: bacterial SSU rRNA
Rfam family: Bacterial small subunit ribosomal RNA
Source: RNAcentral
GAGAAGUCCCUUUCGGGGGGCGGACAGCGGCGAAAGGGAGAGUAAUACGUAGAAAUCUGCCCUCGGGCCUGGGAUAGCGGCGGGAAACUGCCGGUAAUACCAGAUAAUGUCUUCGGACCAAAGGUGUGAUUCCGCCUGAGGAUGAGUCUACGUCCUAUUAGCUAGUUGGCGGGGUAAUGGCCCACCAAGGCGACGAUGGGUAGCGGGUGUGAGAGCAUGACCCGCCUCACUGGGACUGAGACACUGCCCAGACAUCUACGGAUGGCUGCAGUCGAGAAUCUUUGUCAAUGGACGAAAGUCUGAACAAGCGACGCCGCGUGCGGGAUGAAGGCCCUCGGGUUGUAAACCGCUGUCGUAGGGGAACAAAUGUAUGGGGGUUCUCCCCUGUACUUGAGUGAUCCUAGGAGGAAGGACGGGCUAAGUUCGUGCCAGCAGCCGCGGUAAGACGAACCGUCCAAACGUUAUUCGGUAUCACUGGGCUUAAAGAGUUCGUAGGCGGCCAUGUAGGUCAGGUGUGAAAUCCCACAGCUCGACUGUGGAACUGCGCUUGAAACCACAUGGCUCGAGGGAGAUAGAGGUGAGCGGAACAGAUGGUGGAGCGGUGAAAUGCGUUGAUAUCAUCUGGAACACCGGUGGCGAAAGCGGCUCACUGGAUCUUUUCUGACGCUGAGGAACGAAAGCUAGGGUAGCGAACGGGAUUAGAUACCCCGGUAGUCCUAGCCGUAAACGAUGAGCACUAGUCCGUGGAAACUUCCACAUUUUCUCGGACGUAGCGAAAGUGUUAAGUGCUCCGCCUGGGG